UCAAGUGAAGAAGCGCAUACGGUGGAUGCCUUGGCAGUCAGAGGCGAUGAAAGACGUGGUAGCCUGCGAAAAGCUUCGGGGAGUCGGCAAACAGACUGUGAUCCGGAGAUGUCUGAAUGGGGGAACCCAGCCAUCAUAAGAUGGUUAUCUUACACUGAAUACAUAGGUGUAAGAGGCGAACCAGGGGAACUGAAACAUCUAAGUACCCUGAGGAAAAGAAAUCAACCGAGAUUCCCUUAGUAGUGGCGAGCGAACGGGGACCAGCCCUUAAGUUGUAUUGAGAUUAGCGGAACGCUCUGGAAAGUGCGGCCAUAGUGGGUGAUAGCCCUGUACGCGAAAAUCCCUUUGCAAUGAAAUCGAGUAGGACGGGGCACGAGAAACCUUGUCUGAAUAUGGGGGGACCAUCCUCCAAGGCUAAAUACUACUGACUGACCGAUAGUGAACCAGUACCGUGAGGGAAAGGCGAAAAGAACCGCGGAGAGCGGAGUGAAAUAGAUCCUGAAACCGUAUGCGUACAAGCAGUGGGAGCCCACUUUGUUGGGUGACUGCGUACCUUUUGUAUAAUGGGUCAGCGACUUAUUUUCAGUGGCGAGCUUAACCGAAUAGGGGAGGCGUAGCGAAAGCGAGUCUUAAUAGGGCGUCUAGUCGCUGGGAAUAGACCCGAAACCGGGCGAUCUAUCCAUGGGCAGGUUGAAGGUUGGGUAACACUAACUGGAGGACCGAACCGACUACCGUUGAAAAGUUAGCGGAUGACCUGUGGAUCGGAGUGAAAGGCUAAUCAAGCUCGGAGAUAGCUGGUUCUCCUCGAAAGCUAUUUAGGUAGCGCCUCAUGUAUCACUGUAGGGGGUAGAGCACUGUUUCGGCUAGGGGGUCAUCCCGACUUACCAAACCGAUGCAAACUCCGAAUACCUACAAGUGCCGAGCAUGGGAGACACACGGCGGGUGCUAACGUCCGUCGUGAAAAGGGAAACAACCCAGACCGUCAGCUAAGGUCCCAAAGUCAUGGUUAAGUGGGAAACGAUGUGGGAAGGCUUAGACAGCUAGGAGGUUGGCUUAGAAGCAGCCACCCUUUAAAGAAAGCGUAAUAGCUCACUAGUCGAGUCGGCCUGCGCGGAAGAUGUAACGGGGCUCAAACCAUGCACCGAAGCUACGGGUAUCACCUUUGGUGAUGCGGUAGAGGAGCGUUCUGUAAGCCUGUGAAGGUGAGUUGAGAAGCUUGCUGGAGGUAUCAGAAGUGCGAAUGCUGACAUGAGUAACGACAAUGGGUGUGAAAAACACCCACGCCGAAAGACCAAGGUUUCCUGCGCAACGUUAAUCGACGCAGGGUUAGUCGGUCCCUAAGGCGAGGCUGAAAAGCGUAGUCGAUGGAAAACAGGUUAAUAUUCCUGUACUUCUGGUUAUUGCGAUGGAGGGACGGAGAAGGCUAGGCCAGCCUGGCGUUGGUAGUCCAGGUUUAAGGUGGUAGGCUGAGAUCUUAGGUAAAUCCGGGAUCUUAAGGCCGAGAGCUGAUGACGAGUGUUCUUUUAGAACAUGAAGUGGUUGAUGCCAUGCUUCCAAGAAAAGCUUCUAAGCUUCAGGUAACCAGGAACCGUACCCCAAACCGACACAGGUGGUUGGGUAGAGAAUACCAAGGCGCUUGAGAGAACUCGGGUGAAGGAACUAGGCAAAAUGGCACCGUAACUUCGGGAGAAGGUGCGCCGGUGAGGGUGAAGCAUUUACUGCGUAAGCCCACGCCGGUCGAAGAUACCAGGCCGCUGCGACUGUUUAUUAAAAACACAGCACUCUGCAAACACGAAAGUGGACGUAUAGGGUGUGACGCCUGCCCGGUGCCGGAAGGUUAAUUGAUGGGGUUAGCGCAAGCGAAGCUCUUGAUCGAAGCCCCGGUAAACGGCGGCCGUAACUAUAACGGUCCUAAGGUAGCGAAAUUCCUUGUCGGGUAAGUUCCGACCUGCACGAAUGGCGUAACGAUGGCGGCGCUGUCUCCACCCGAGACUCAGUGAAAUUGAAAUCGCUGUGAAGAUGCAGUGUAUCCGCGGCUAGACGGAAAGACCCCGUGAACCUUUACUAUAGCUUUGCACUGGACUUUGAAUUUGCUUGUGUAGGAUAGGUGGGAGGCUUUGAAGCGUGGACGCCAGUCUGCGUGGAGCCAACCUUGAAAUACCACCCUGGCAACUUUGAGGUUCUAACUCAGGUCCGUUAUCCGGAUCGAGGACAGUGUAUGGUGGGUAGUUUGACUGGGGCGGUCUCCUCCUAAAGAGUAACGGAGGAGUACGAAGGUGCGCUCAGACCGGUCGGAAAUCGGUCGUAGAGUAUAAAGGCAAAAGCGCGCUUGAC
Molecule: ribosomal RNA, 2334 nt
Filed under: Pseudomonas syringae pv. tomato NCPPB 1108
Lineage: Bacteria; Pseudomonadati; Pseudomonadota; Gammaproteobacteria; Pseudomonadales; Pseudomonadaceae
Description: bacterial LSU rRNA
Rfam family: Bacterial large subunit ribosomal RNA
Source: RNAcentral